Molecule: ribosomal RNA, 746 nt
Filed under: uncultured Parvimonas sp.
Lineage: Bacteria; Bacillati; Bacillota; Tissierellia; Tissierellales; Peptoniphilaceae
Description: bacterial SSU rRNA
Rfam family: Bacterial small subunit ribosomal RNA
Source: RNAcentral
GACGGACGCUGGCGGCGUGCUUAACACAUGCAAGUCGAACGUGAUUUUUGUGAAAAUUCUUUUGGGAAUGGAAGCGAAAUGAAAGUGGCGAACGGGUGAGUAACACGUGAGCAACCUACCUUACACAGGGGGAUAGCCGUUGGAAACGACGAUUAAUACCGCAUGAGACCACAGAACCGCAUGGUAUAGGGGUCAAAGAUUUAUCGGUGUAAGAUGGGCUCGCGUCUGAUUAGCUAGUUGGAAGGGUAAAGGCCUACCAAGGCGACGAUCAGUAGCCGGUCUGAGAGGAUGAACGGCCACAUUGGAACUGAGACACGGUCCAAACUCCUACGGGAGGCAGCAGUGGGGAAUAUUGCACAAUGGGGGGAACCCUGAUGCAGCGACGCCGCGUGAGCGAAGAAGGUUUUCGAAUCGUAAAGCUCUGUCCUAUGAGAAGAUAAUGACGGUAUCAUAGGAGGAAGCCCCGGCUAAAUACGUGCCAGCAGCCGCGGUAAUACGUAUGUCGCAAGCGUUAUCCGGAUUUAUUGGGCGUAAAGCGCAUCUAGGCGGCAAGGAAAGUCUGAUGUGAAAAUGCGGAGCUCAACUCCGUAUGGCGUUGGAAACUGCCUUACUAGAGUACUGGAGAGGUAGGCGGAACUACAAGUGUAGAGGUGAAAUUCGUAGAUAUUUGUAGGAAUGCCGAUGGGGAAGCCAGCCUACUGGACAGAUACUGACGCUAAAGCGCGAAAGCGUGGGUAGCAAACAGG